AGAUUGAACGCUGGCGGCAGGCCUAACACAUGCAAGUCGAGCGGCAGCACGGGUACUUGUACCUGGUGGCGAGCGGCGGACGGGUGAGUAAUGCCUAGGAAUCUGCCUGAUAGUGGGGGAUAACGUUCGGAAACGGACGCUAAUACCGCAUACGUCCUACGGGAGAAAGUGGGGGAUCUUCGGACCUCACGCUAUCAGAUGAGCCUAGGUCGGAUUAGCUAGUUGGUAGGGUAAAGGCCUACCAAGGCUACGAUCCGUAACUGGUCUGAGAGGAUGAUCAGUCACACUGGAACUGAGACACGGUCCAGACUCCUACGGGAGGCAGCAGUGGGGAAUAUUGGACAAUGGGCGAAAGCCUGAUCCAGCCAUGCCGCGUGUGUGAAGAAGGUCUUCGGAUUGUAAAGCACUUUAAGUUGGAGAAGGCAGUUACCUAAUACGUAUCUGUUUUGACGUUACCGACAGAAUAAGCACCGGCUAACUCUAGUGCCAGCAGCCGA
Molecule: ribosomal RNA, 497 nt
Filed under: uncultured soil bacterium
Lineage: Bacteria
Description: bacterial SSU rRNA
Rfam family: Bacterial small subunit ribosomal RNA
Source: RNAcentral